GAUUUCGGGAUUUCACCGGAGACAUCCACAAUACAGGAAACAACUGAUCAGACUGGAACAUUUACAUCAACACCCCAACAGACAAUUUCAUCAACACCAAACACAGUAACUGCUGAGUCAACUGAGACCACAUUUGUGACUGAACCAACCGCUCCAACUCAUUCGGAAACUCCUGAGACUGUAAAGACAACAGCAACACCUGACCCAACCACUCCCAAUGACAAAACAACCACUGAGCCUGUUGAGACAACCACAAUACAGGAAACAACUGAUCAGACUGGAACAUUUACAUCAACACCCCAACAGACAAUUUCAUCAACACCAAACACAGUAACUGCUGAGUCAACUGAGACCACCUUUGUGACUGAACCAACCGCUCCAACUCAUUCAGAAACUCCUGAGACUGUAAAGACAACAGCAACACCUGACCCAACCACUCCCAAUGACAAAACAACCACGGAGUCUGUUGAGACAACCACAAUACAGGAAACAUCUGCUCAGACUGGAACAUUAACAUCAACACCCCAACAGACAAUUUCAUCAACACCAAACACAGUAACUGCUGAGUCAACUGAGACCACAUUUGUGACUGAACCAACCGCUCCAACUCAUUCGGAAACUCCUGAGACUGUAGAGACAACAGCAACACCUGACCCAACCACUCCCAAUGACAAAACAACCACUGAGCCUGUUGAGACAACCACAAUACAGGAAACAUCUGCUCAGACUAGUACAUUAACAUCAACACCCCAACAGACAAUUUCAUCAACACCAAACACAGUAACUGCUGAGUCAACUGAGACCACAUUUGUGACUGAACCAACCGCUCCAACUCAUUCAGAAACUCCUGAGACUGUAAAGACAACAGCAACACCUGACCCAACUACUCCCAAUGACAAAACAACCACUGAGCCUGUUGAGACAACCACAAUACAGGAAACAUCUGCUCAGACUAGUACAUUAACAUCAACAUCCCAACAGACAACAACAUCACCUUCAUCAGGACCUACAACAGAGCCUCUUAUCUGCCAAAAUGGUGGUACUUCCAAUGGAACUGACUGCUUAUGUCUUGAUACAUUCACUGGAGAGUUCUGUCAGUUUGUUAAACCUGUUGUUCAGCCAGAUGAACUUGAGCAAGCAGUGGAAGUUAAUGUGGUGAUCAAUCAGGUAUACAUUCCUGACUAUGAUGAUGAUACAACACCCAAAUACAAAGAAUUGGUUCAAAACUUCACUGAGCGGAUGAAGAAAUAUUACCUGGCAAUUCCCGUACAGUGUAAAGAAGUUGUAGUAACUGAUAUCAGCCCUGGAGGGGAUCAGAUGAGAUUAUCCGCUGAAGCCAUGGUUGUCCAUAUUACACCAAGAGAAAACGGUAUUAGUAUCACACAUGAGGUGAUUUUGAAAAUCCCAAAUAAUGAAAAUGCUACAGCAGCAUAUAACACAGACUUCAUCGCAAUCCAAAACUCUCUUGAAGAGCUUCCAAACUGCACAGAAGGGUCUUCUGAACCUUCAGCAGACUGCCCUUACGAAGUCACACGUCCUCCGACAGUAAAUCCCACAGAAUUCAAUUCCACAGGUC
Long non-coding RNA from Acanthochromis polyacanthus (spiny chromis), 1576 nucleotides. RefSeq lists it as uncharacterized. The transcript is spliced from 7 exons. NCBI's taxonomy places the organism in Eukaryota, Metazoa, Chordata, Actinopteri, Pomacentridae. The record is from RefSeq and is a predicted model, not a curated record.